GGUUGCGAUCAUACCAGCACUAAUGCACCGGAUCCCAUCAGAACUCCGCAGUUAGCGUGCUUGGGCGAGAGUAGUACUAGGAUGGGUGACCCCCUGGGAAGUCCUCGUGUUGCAACCC
RNAcentral lists this ribosomal RNA (118 nucleotides) under Helianthus annuus (common sunflower). The record is from RNAcentral. Lineage: Eukaryota; Viridiplantae; Streptophyta; Magnoliopsida; Asterales; Asteraceae.